UUUUCACAGAUUUUAAUGAUGCCAUUUUAGUUUCUGGGGAGGGCCUGGUUUCAAAAAUUGUCUUCAUUACUUACUUUAAGAUAGUAUACUAAGAUAUCAUACACAGUGCUUUUAAAAAUACCCUUAUGUUCAAGACUUCUGACCUUAUAUUCUUG
This is a long non-coding RNA of Oxyura jamaicensis (ruddy duck), 155 nucleotides long. RefSeq lists it as uncharacterized. The record is from RefSeq and is a predicted model, not a curated record. NCBI's taxonomy places the organism in Eukaryota, Metazoa, Chordata, Aves, Anseriformes, Anatidae. The transcript has 3 exons.